This 905-nucleotide long non-coding RNA is filed under the name Macaca mulatta (Rhesus monkey). RNAcentral's name for it is "lncRNA (ENSMMUG00000062442.1)". The record is from RNAcentral. Lineage: Eukaryota; Metazoa; Chordata; Mammalia; Primates; Cercopithecidae.
AAGGAGGAUAUUCAUAUAGGAUAAAAUUUGAACAAAUUGCUUUCAGAAUUCAUGCAACAAUCUCUCCAAAAAUUGUGCCAGCUGCUCUCUCGUGCUGUAGUUGAAGUCCAGAGUUGAAUCCGCCCAUAUGCCGUGCUUCGGAUCAGAUAUAUAUGCUCUGUGCCUACUGCCUGGAAACAUCUGAGUUUGUGGCCUCUGCUGAAUACAAAUACAGAGACUCAGGUUAGCCCUAGUCAACACCUUCUCCAUUAUCAGGAGUAUCUGGGAUACUGGCCAUAGAUUGAUGCUGUGAUGGACCACUCCAGGAGACCUGGAGCUUCUUUAGGCUACGUCUUCCAGGCUUCAUGAACACCAUGGAAUCCCUUGUACUAAGAUCUAAAGAAGCUUCAAGUGGUCAGCCCUCCAGAGGAGGUUGAUCCAUAUCUGAAUUCCAUUCCUUAUCAUCCCAGGAAAAGUUUGUAUCUUACCCCAAGGAAGUCACUGAAUUGAGAGCCAGUGGACCUGGGAAGAAGGCUGGUAGAGCAGUGCAAGGUGACCCUCCACUGAGGAUGUGGCAAGAGACUUGUGGGUCUGCAGCCUGUAGGAGUCAAACGAUGGUGAAUCAGCAGAGAAACACUCCUUGGACCAGGAGGAUGAGUCUGAGUUACAUUCACUUUGUUGUGUAAGGCCAGCAGAACUCAGGUGCCCCAGGAGGACUCAGGCCAUUGUCCUAGGUCAACCAAUGCACACAGCAUCCCAGUACAAGGUCAGUGGACCCCUUGUUCUCACUGAGAACUCUCAUACACUAGAAUGCCAAGUUAGGGGGAGAGGCAGAGGCAACCUGGGAUCCUGAGCAUCCUUUCUUAGAGAGACUGAACACUGUUUUAAGGAGCCAUUAAAAUUACUGACUCAGAUUAUAUCUAAAG